GAGUCGCACUUGUCUGAAGCCUUGAUUGGAACUGGAGUUUCCACUUCCCAGGUGACUCUCAAAUGGCUCACAUACUAGUUGGGAUUGUUAGUUGAAGGCCCCAGUUCCUCCUUGGUAACCCUCUCUACAGAAUUGAUUGAAUGCCCUCAUGGCCUGGCAGCCUAGCUUCCACAAGAACAAACAGUCCAAGAUGCCAAGGCAGAAGCUGAAAUUCCUUUUAUAACCUAGCCCCAAAAGUUACCUUUGUCACAUCUACUGUACUCUAUUGGUUAUGCAUGUUCUGUUGGAGGAAGGAGACUAUGGAAAGGCAUGAAUAUCAAAAGGCCAUGAUCAUUGGAGCCAUCUUGGAGGCUGGCUAUCACAACACUCACCUCACUGCUAUCAGAGUGAUCCCUUAAACAUGAACCUGUCUAAUUAAAGUGGAAAUGGUGAAGAUACACUGUGGAUAGAGGAAUUGAGAAGAAUGGUGGUGAAGGUCUGAAAGAGAAUGGAAGAUAAAGCAGCAAUUUACUAUGGGCAAGCAAACAGAUACGUCGAAUGACAUUGAGGGUUUCACUGAAGACCAGUGGUUGUCUGCCAACGCUAACUGGCCAGCUCUGACAGGAGGUGCGUGGCCCAGGAGGAGCCAUCAGGCCAGUUCUCUGGGAUACUGCUGUGUCUCCAGCUCUGCAGUUUGCUCUGCAUCACUCAGCGGCAGACGGAGAGGCAGACACGAGCCCCUUGUGAGCCCUCCUCCUUACCGUCAUCCCACAAUGCUCUGAAAUAAGGAGGCAAAUGGCUGAGGUCCCCUCAGUUGUAGAUGUGAUUGAGUUCUAUCUACCAGAAGCAUAUGCCUCCUGGAAGCCCGGUUCUAACACCUCCCACAAAAUCCUUCAAGCGCUUUUUUCUGUUCCAAUGUUUGCUUAUGGGGGACCCAGUGAAGUGCUUCAGAGCCCUAGAGAUAUGCUGAGUCAUAUGAGGGGUCAGCAAACUUUUCCUGUAAAGGGUCAGAUAAUAAACAUUUUAAGCUUUGUAGACUGUAUAAAGUCUCUGUUUCUUCUCCCCCUCCUCCUCCUCUUUCUCCUUCAGCUUCUUUCCUUUAAAUAUGUACAAAACCUUUCUUCUUUUCCAAAAUCUGUCUAUAUUUGA
Molecule: long non-coding RNA, 1128 nt
Organism: Pan paniscus (pygmy chimpanzee)
Lineage: Eukaryota; Metazoa; Chordata; Mammalia; Primates; Hominidae
Source: Ensembl